This 493-nucleotide long non-coding RNA is filed under the name Malus domestica (apple). RNAcentral's name for it is "long non-coding RNA (MDOM_LNC006841)". The record is from RNAcentral. Lineage: Eukaryota; Viridiplantae; Streptophyta; Magnoliopsida; Rosales; Rosaceae.
UACCGUUUUGAUGCAAUAUGCAUUCUACGAAACUUUUUUCAACGAUCCAACCGUCAAACUUAUUUGUACACAUUCCGAGAUUGCAAACGUAAAAAAUUGUAAAAAACAAACAUUCAGAGAUUACAUAACGGAACAAAAGUUUUCGACGGUUAUAAACGAAAAAUCACAAUUUAACGGUUAUUUUAGCUCCGAUUUUGAUGAUUUUGUACAUAUACACUCCUCGACCCUAUAAGAAUGUAAAGAAUAAAUUUGAUCUUUAAUUUAAAGUAUUUACAUUUUUUAUAUAUGAGUGAUUGUAUAUAUAUUUUUUUACAUUUUUUACACUUCUACAAUAAUUAUUAUUAAUUUUAUUAAUUUUGCCCUAAAAUAAAAAACAUUAUUCAUGAGGGUUUGAAGGAUUUUAAAAAUCUAAACGAUAAUAUAAGUGUAACAAUUAUCUAUUCGUGAAGGAAUAAUGAUAAAUCAUGAGUGUUUAUAUAUUCUUUCACAUUUU